CCGUCACCGAAUUAAAAAUUUGGAUAGUCCGGCACUAAAGCACAGUGAGUUGUUUGCAAGUCACCGAGGUAGCUUAAGAUUAGAGGGACACAUAUUUCCAUAUCCCAUCAGAGCAAUCCUUGACAGUAGAGUACUUUGGAGGUGGUCACGCUCAGUGAAUUGUACUCCUACAUAUCACCCGUAUGCCAUAUCUAUGUCGCCACACGCCUUGAUUAAGAGGACAACCAACUAAUAUAGCACACAAUAACCUGCACUCAAUACAA
RNAcentral lists this long non-coding RNA (263 nucleotides) under Elaeis guineensis (African oil palm). RNAcentral describes it as "long non-coding RNA (EGUI_LNC077443)". Lineage: Eukaryota; Viridiplantae; Streptophyta; Magnoliopsida; Arecales; Arecaceae. The record is from RNAcentral.